Pelobates cultripes (western spadefoot toad) is the source of this 317-nucleotide non-coding RNA. The record is from the annotation of a GenBank genome assembly. Lineage: Eukaryota; Metazoa; Chordata; Amphibia; Anura; Pelobatidae.
CAUACAUACACACAUACAGAGAAACAUUCAUACAGACACACAUUCAUACAGACACAUACAGACACACAACCACAAAAACACACAUACAUACAAACAAACACACACAUAUACAAAAUGUUUAGUCACCCUCCUAUUUCCUACCUUUUAGGUGCAGGAGGGUGACUUUCUUGGGGUCCAGUUGUGGCUCAGCCUGAUUGGAGUCAAAGUUCCCACUCUGACUCCCUCUUCUUUCCUCCCGUGCAGCUCCCAGUGUAAGCUAGGAGGAGUGACCGGGGCAGUCACUUCCUCCCAGCUGUGAUGUCAUCACAAGGGGCACG